This 378-nucleotide unclassified non-coding RNA is filed under the name uncultured delta proteobacterium. RNAcentral describes it as "contains 16S-23S intergenic spacer region". The record is from RNAcentral. Lineage: Bacteria; Deltaproteobacteria.
UCUGGCUUAUAGCCAAGCGGUCCCCCUAGAGUGCCCAACUUAAUGAUGGUAACUAAGGGCAAGGGUUGCGCUCGUUGCGGGACUUAACCCAACAUCUCACAACACGAGCUGACGACAGCCAUGCAGCACCUGUCUCCGCGUCCCGUAAGGGAACCCCUACUUUCAUAGGGUAGCGCGGGAUGUCAAGUCCAGGUAAGGUUUUUCGCGUAGCAUCGAAUUGAACCACAUACUCCACCGCUUGUGCGGGCCCCCGUCAAUUCCUUUGAGUUUUAAUCUUGCGACCGUACUACUCAGGCGGGAUACUUAAUGCGUUAGCUUCGUCACCGAAACGAUUAGACAUUCCGACGACUAGUAUCCAUCGUUUAGGGCGUGGACUAC